AGUGAGAUAAGCUAUUCAAGCUAGCGGGUUCAUACCCCGAAAAAGAGAAGUUUCUCUCUCACUA
Molecule: transfer RNA, 64 nt
Filed under: Eisenia nordenskioldi pallida
Lineage: Eukaryota; Metazoa; Annelida; Clitellata; Crassiclitellata; Lumbricidae
Description: tRNA-Met
Source: RNAcentral